UGGGAUCCCUUCAGCGUAACCAAAACAGCACCAACUCCACUACCAUUCACGUUAACGGCCCCAUCAAACAUCAAAAUCCAUUCGAACUCAGGGUCAGGCCCCUCCUCCGGGAUAGGUUCCUCACAAUCUUUCGAUUUGAGAAACAUGAUGUCCUCAUCAGGGAACUCAAAUUUCAUCGGUUGAUAAUCUUCAAUGGGUUGUUGGGCGAGGUAAUCA
RNAcentral lists this long non-coding RNA (216 nucleotides) under Lathyrus oleraceus (garden pea). RNAcentral's name for it is "Pisum sativum (pea) long non-coding RNA (PSAT_LNC005808)". The record is from RNAcentral. Lineage: Eukaryota; Viridiplantae; Streptophyta; Magnoliopsida; Fabales; Fabaceae.